GGGGUUUUAGCUCAGUGGUAGAGCGUCCGCUUUGCAUGCGGAAGGCCGUGGGUUCAAUCCCCACAAUCUCCA
RNAcentral lists this transfer RNA (72 nucleotides) under Actinomortierella ambigua. It matches the Rfam family "tRNA". Rfam says of the family: Transfer RNA (tRNA) molecules are approximately 80 nucleotides in length. The record is from Rfam by way of RNAcentral. Lineage: Eukaryota; Fungi; Mortierellomycota; Mortierellomycetes; Mortierellales; Mortierellaceae.